This 479-nucleotide ribosomal RNA is filed under the name uncultured bacterium. RNAcentral's name for it is "partial 16S ribosomal RNA". It matches the Rfam family "Bacterial small subunit ribosomal RNA", at positions 28 to 507 of the family's 1533-position model. The record is from RNAcentral.
GAUGAACGCUAGCGGGAGGCCUAACACAUGCAAGCCGAGCGGUAUUUGUUCUUCGGAACAGAGAGAGCGGCGCACGGGUGCGGAACACGUGUGCAACCUGCCUUUAUCUGGGGGAUAGCCUUUCGAAAGGAAGAUUAAUACCCCAUAAUAUAUUGAGUGGCAUCAUUUGAUAUUGAAAACUCCGGUGGAUAGAGAUGGGCACGCGCAAGAUUAGAUAGUUGGUGAGGUAACGGCUCACCAAGUCAAUGAUCUUUAGGGGGCCUGAGAGGGUGAUCCCCCACGCUGGUACUGAGACACGGACCAGACUCCUACGGGAGGCAGCAGUGAGGAAUAUUGGACAAUGGGGUAGCGCCUGAUCCAGCCAUCCCGCGUGAAGGACGACGGCCCUAUGGGUUGUAAACUUCUUUUGUAUAGGGAUAAACCUACUCUCGUGAGAGUAGCUGAAGGUACUAGACGAAUAAGCACCGGCUAACUCCGUG